Long non-coding RNA from Orcinus orca (killer whale), 1945 nucleotides. RefSeq lists it as uncharacterized. The record is from RefSeq and is a predicted model, not a curated record. The transcript has 7 exons. NCBI's taxonomy places the organism in Eukaryota, Metazoa, Chordata, Mammalia, Artiodactyla, Delphinidae.
CUACACCCACCCUCGUGCUCUGGGUUGCUCAGAAAUUCCAAGAAAUUCCAAGUUUCCUGCUGCCUCACUGGCUGGAACAGAAUGGAAUGUGCACCACCGCUGAUAACAACAGGAGAGGCCCCAAACCACAGAGGCAGGCAGCCCCGGGGUAAAUCCUUGCUCCACCGCUUCACGCUGAAAGAUAUUGUACGAGUUACUUAGCUUUCGUCAUAGGUCGGAUUUCCUGGGAAAGAGAGUCUAGGUCUCUGAGGGUUGUGUGGAGGAGGCUAACUGGGGAGUGAGCUCAGAAACAACGACAACAUGGGGAGGGAUGCUAGACUGGGCAGAGGGAGAAGCUGUACCAUGAUGCAGUUUCAAUGGAGAUGUCCAGCAAUCCCACAGGGAGCUGGGAUGGCCCUUCAGAGUUGUCCCAGCUGAGGACAAAUGGUUAGGCUUUUGUACUUCCAUGUUGGCCGGUCAUAGAUGCAGGCUGCCUUCUGAGAAAUGGUCUGGGAUGAAAGCUCUCUUUGACUGAGUCUUGCAGCAGCAGCUAGAGGUCCUGGUAGUAGGCGGGAUGAGUGCCUACAUCCUGAGGUGUAUCUGGGCAGCCCACCGUACCUGUGCCUACAUGUUCAAUAUAUCAGAGAUCAAGGAAGUCUCCUUGGCCACUCUACCUGAAAUUGCAACCCCUUAAUCUCAUAUCCCCUGUACCCCAUCUUACUUUUAUCCAUCGUAUUUAUCAUGAACUAACAUACAUUUUUUUAAAGAUUUUUUUGAUUGGACCAUUUUUAAAGUCUUUAUUGAAUUUAUUACAAUAUUGCUUCUGUUUUAUGUUUUGGUGUUUUUGGUCACGAGGCAUGUGGGAUCUUAGCUCCCCGACCAGGGAUCAAACCCGAACUCCCUGCACUGGAAGGUGAAGUCUUAACCACUGGACUGCCAGAAGUUAAUCCCGAAGCAUUUCUGCCCUCCACAUUUAUUGAAAGUCACUUGGAACAUUGGUUCAGAAGUACUCUACGUGGCUCUCAUUCCUGGACCCAGGCUGAAGCAGCAGCAGACACUUGGACAUCCACUUCUCACGGAGAAUACAGGAGUGGGAGAGAUAGAUUAGAAAUACACAAAGCUUGAAACUGACCUCCUAUCGUUUCCCACCUGCAGCCCACUGGCCAAAGAUUCUUGGAAAGUGGAAUUACUCUUCUCAUCAAAUAUUCUGUACUACUCUAUGAUCCAAAGAAAUGCCCAGAUUCUUCUAGAACGGGCCCACUAGUGAUGCCUGGAUUGAAUUAAAGCAGCUGAUUCUCAAGCCAAGUGGCCAGAAUUUGGACAACUCUACUGGCUCAUCCUCUGUGCUGUAUGGAAGAAACCAAGAUAAUGAUACUUUCCCAAGGCUGGGACUGGGCUACAAAACAAUAAGGGACCUGGUAAAAGAGCCUCUGGAAGUAUGCAAACGUCAAUAAAUUAGCAGCUAAUGCGCUACCGAACACCCAAGUUGGUUCUCAGGAAAUACCAUUGUACCCAGUGACACGGUCAACUUGCACCAUUACCUCCUCAAGCCCAACCCUAUAUCUGAAUUCUGGGGAGGAGACAGAACUUAAGGCUAAAGUGGGAUCACAGGCAAGUGGGAUCCUUGAGAUUCUUCACAAUUUAAAGCCUGGUGCAGACACAGAUGAGCCAUUAACCUGGGGAGCCCCAUGUUGAAGAUGAUGGAGCCAUGAGAUGGAGGAACCUGUUUCCUGGAAUCAGGAAGAGGACCACGGCUGAUCGAUGUCACCCAUUUUGGCUUUUACAUUUGUGAAGUUUUCUACUGUUUGGGACAAUACACAUUUUUGAAAUCUGUUUAUAAUAGCAGAUAAUGAUACUUUAAUGAAUAUUAUCACUUAUUAAUAAAAGGAAGAUCAAAACCUAAAUUUCAAUUAACUCAUGUUUUUGAUGAGUUGAUUUCCAGGGGAUUAAAAUUUUCUUACAAUCA